Molecule: long non-coding RNA, 589 nt
Filed under: Androctonus crassicauda
Lineage: Eukaryota; Metazoa; Arthropoda; Arachnida; Scorpiones; Buthidae
Source: RNAcentral
AUAAUGACGAGAUGUGAUGAGAGCUUUUUGGGAUCAAGUACAUAUUAAAGCAGUUGUGCUAAUCUCAUAACAACAAAUUCUUUAUUGCCAAACGUUUUUGACUUACAUAAUGUCAUCUUCAGGGCUUCUGAAUAACAGCUAAGAACAUUCAAAUUUAAUAAUUCUAGAAUAUACAAAAUUUUGAAAAACACUUAGCAACGUUUCCAAGGUAACUUCCCAAAAAUUAACAUCAGCGGCAAAAGACAAUAUUCACAAACUUUAAAGCAAAAACAAUAAAAUACUAUAAUAAUAUAAGUUCAUAACCCUGUUUAACCCACUUGCAUAUAUGCGGCUGUCUUUAUUUUAUUUUAUUUUCAACCCGAAUCAUGAAACUGUCGUCCAGCAGUCUUGCUUAUAUGUUUCUGUACCAUAUAUUUCCAGGCAUCUGAGAUUUCUAACGAUGUUUUUUCAUUUAACACUGUACCCUCUCCUUUGGCUUUCAAAAUUUCCAAACUCUCCGCCAUUAGUGCAUGCGAUGCUUUUGCUAUCGGUCAUAUAAUCUUCGCCUCUUCCCGACCUAUCUCUACUUGUGAGGCAUACACUACUUCCG